This 449-nucleotide ribosomal RNA is filed under the name uncultured organism. RNAcentral's name for it is "partial 16S ribosomal RNA". It matches the Rfam family "Bacterial small subunit ribosomal RNA", at positions 334 to 799 of the family's 1533-position model. The record is from RNAcentral.
CACUCCUGCGGGAGGCAGCAGUGGGGAAUAUUGGACAAUGGGCGCAAGCCUGAUCCAGCCAUGCCGCGUGAGUGAUGAAGGCCCUAGGGUUGUAAAGCUCUUUCACCGGUGAAGAUAAUGACGGUAACCGGAGAAGAAGCCCCGGCUAACUUCGUGCCAGCAGCCGCGGUAAUACGAAGGGGGCUAGCGUUGUUCGGAUUUACUGGGCGUAAAGCGCACGUAGGCGGACUAUUAAGUCAGGGGUGAAAUCCCGGGGCUCAACCCCGGAACUGCCUUUGAUACUGGUAGUCUUGAGUUCGAGAGAGGUGAGUGGAAUUCCGAGUGUAGAGGUGAAAUUCGUAGAUAUUCGGAGGAACACCAGUGGCGAAGGCGGCUCACUGGCUCGAUACUGACGCUGAGGUGCGAAAGCGUGGGGAGCAAACAGGAUUAGAUACCCGGGUAGUCCCAUG